This 47-nucleotide transfer RNA is filed under the name Trichonephila clavipes. Its description in RNAcentral is "tRNA-Thr". The record is from RNAcentral. Lineage: Eukaryota; Metazoa; Arthropoda; Arachnida; Araneae; Nephilidae.
AUUAGUUUAAGUAAAAUAAAAACUUUGUAAGUUUAAGAUCUAAAAUG